Molecule: ribosomal RNA, 482 nt
Filed under: uncultured bacterium
Lineage: Bacteria
Description: bacterial SSU rRNA
Rfam family: Bacterial small subunit ribosomal RNA
Source: RNAcentral
AUUAAACGCUGGCGGCAUGCCUUACACAUGCAAGUCGAACGGCAGCACGGGGCAACCUGGUGGCGAGUGGCGAACGGGUGAGUAAAGCAUCGGAACGUGCCCUGGAGUGGGGGAUAACGUAGCGAAAGUUACGCUAAUACCGCAUAUUCUGUGAGCAGGAAAGCAGGGGAUCGCAAGACCUUGCGCUCUGGGAGCGGCCGAUGUCGGAUUAGCUAGUUGGUGGGGUAAAGGCCUACCAAGGCGACGAUCCGUAGCGGGUCUGAGAGGAUGAUCCGCCACACUGGGACUGAGACACGGCCCAGACUCCUACGGGAGGCAGCAGUGGGGAAUUUUGGACAAUGGGCGCAAGCCUGAUCCAGCCAUGCCGCGUGAGUGAAGAAGGCCUUCGGGUUGUAAAGCUCUUUCGGCCGGGAAGAAAUCGCGUGGGUUAAUACCCUGUGUGGAUGACGGUACCGGAAUAAGAAGCACCGGCUAACUACGUG